AGAGUUUGAUCAUGGCUCAGAGCGAACGCUGGCGGCGCGUUUUAAGCAUGCAAGUCGAACGGUAGAGAAGCUUCGGUUUCUUGAGAGUGGCGAACGGGUGAGUAACACGUAGAUGAUCUGCCUUGAAGUUGGGGAUAGCCCAUAGAAAUAUGGGGUAAUACCGGAUAAUCUCUUACGAUUUUGAUUGUUUGAGGAAAGGGGCUUCGGCCUCGCUUUAAGAUGAGUCUGCGGCUUAUUAGCUAGUUGGUAGGGUAAUGGCCUACCAAGGCGACGAUAAGUAGCCGGCCUGAGAGGGUGACCGGCCACAUUGGGACUGAGACACGGCCCAAACUCCUACGGGAGGCAGCAGCUAAGAAUCUUCCGCAAUGGGCGCAAGCCUGACGGAGCGACGCCGCGUGGACGAAGAAUGCCGAGAGGUUGUAAAGUCCUUUUAUAUGCGAAGAAUAAUAUCUAUAGGAAAUGAUAGAUAGAUGACGUUAGCUUAUGAAUAAGCUCCGGCCAAUUACGUGCCAGCAGCCGCGGUAACACGUAAGGAGCGAGCGUUGUUCGGAAUUAUUGGGCGUAAAGGGCAUGUAGGCGGUUAUAUAAGUCUGAUGUGAAAUCCCACAGCUUAACUGUGGAUCCGCAUUGGAAACUGUAUGACUUGAAUCAGUAAGGGGUAACCGGAAUUCCUAGUGUAGGGGUGAAAUCUGUUGAUAUU
This 700-nucleotide ribosomal RNA is filed under the name uncultured bacterium. RNAcentral describes it as "bacterial SSU rRNA". It matches the Rfam family "Bacterial small subunit ribosomal RNA", at positions 8 to 698 of the family's 1533-position model. The record is from RNAcentral.